RNAcentral lists this long non-coding RNA (955 nucleotides) under Homo sapiens (human). Its description in RNAcentral is "non-protein coding lnc-ZNF717-6:1". The record is from RNAcentral. Lineage: Eukaryota; Metazoa; Chordata; Mammalia; Primates; Hominidae.
UCUUUUCUGGGUAAAAGGUGUCCAAACUCUACAGACUGACAGAGUCUAACAGGUGUCUCUAUAUUCCUCCUCCUAGAACUCUCAGAGGAUCCAGAACUGCAGCCGGUCCUCGCUGGGCUGUUCCUGUCCAUGUGCCUGGUCAAGGUGCUGGGGAACCUGCUCAUCAUCCUGGCCAUCAGCCCUGACUCCCACCUCCACACCCCCAUGUACUUCUUCCUCUCCAACCUGUCCUUGCCUGACAUCGGUUUCACCUCCACCACGGUCCCCAAGAUGAUUGUGGAAUCCAAUCUCACAGCAGAGUCAUCUCCUAUGCAGGCUGCCUGACUCAGAUGUCUCUCUUUGCCAUUUUUGGAGGCAUGGAAGAGAGACAUGCUCCUGAGUGUGAUGGCCUAUGACUGGUUUGUAGCCAUCUGUCACCCUCUAUAUCAUUCAGCCAUCAUGAACCCGUGUUUCUGUGGCUUCCUAGUUUUGCUGUCUUUUUUUUCUUUCUUUUUCUCAGCUGCACAACUUGAUUGCCUUACAAAUGACCUGCUUCAAGAAUGUGGGAAUUCCUAAUUUCCUCUGUGACCCUUCUCAACUCCCCCAUCUCACAUGUUGUGACACCUUCACCAAUCACAUAAUCAUGUAUUUCCCCGCUGCCAUAUUUGGUUUUCUUCCCAUCUCGGGGACCCUUUUCUCUUACCAUGUAAUUGUUUCCUCCAUUCUGAGGGUUUCAUCAUCUGUGGGAGGUGUAAAGCCUUCCCCAUCUGUGAGUUGUUUGCUGAUAUUAUGGAACAGGCUUUGGAGGGUACCUCAGUUCAGAUGUGUCAUCUUCCCUGAGAAAGGCUGCAGUGGCCUCAGUGAUGUACAUGGUGGUCACACCCAUGCUGAACCCCUUCAUCUACAGCCUGAGAAACAGGGAUAUUAAAAGUGUCGUGCAGCGGCCGCAUGGCAGCACGGUCUAAUCUCAAUAUCU